Molecule: long non-coding RNA, 2022 nt
Organism: Canis lupus familiaris (dog)
Lineage: Eukaryota; Metazoa; Chordata; Mammalia; Carnivora; Canidae
Exons: 7
Source: RefSeq, a predicted model, not a curated record
AAGCAGGCUCCCUGCAGGGAGCCCGACGUGGGACUCAAUCCCGGGUCUUUCAGGAUUAUACCCUGGGCUGAAGGUAGCGCUAAACCACUGAGCCCCCCGGGCUGCCCUAUUCACCUGCUUUUAUGAGCUGGGACCCAAGAGAUGGCUAAACCAGUCAAGAAGAUGAGAUGCUGGAGGAAAAGCUGCUGGGAGCCAUUACUAUUAAGGCUAGUAAGCUCCAUGCCCUGUGCAGAGCCCAACACAGAGCUCAAACUCAAAACCGCGAAAUCAAGACCCGAGUGGAGAUCAAGAGUCAGACACUCAACCGAGCAAGCCAUGCAGGACUGUGCUUGAUGGAUGGCAGAAGGUAGGGGGAAGGAAUCUCAGUACCUUCCUCAGGCAAGUGGAUGGAGAGUGAGCAUCACAAGGCAGAGACCACCUUCAGGAUUGUAGCUGGAUUUAAUCAAACCCAGUCAGCUCAUUCCUCUGAUCAACCCCUUUCAGUGGACACUCCAAUUCCUAUUUAAGAGGAAAAUCUUCUUUUGCACUUUGAGUUUGUGCUGAGGCUCAAGACUUACCUACAUGGGUCAGUAGAAGAUAAACAUUUAUGCAUUUAUACAUGCAGGAUGCUGUUGCGUGAUGUAUUGCUUCCAUUGAGAAUCCAUGUUCUGUGUGAAGAUACUGUGGCUUAAGAGGAAUUGUGUUAUAUCAUAAGGAACUGGCAAGAGUGCCAAUUGAUACAAUCUUUGAAUGGAAAACAUCAGAGCCAAAGUCCUUUGUUUUGGAUUUUACAGAGCUGGAAAUUCCAGUGUAACUCAAUCCCACCCUUCACACUGCUGAGAGUAAUCUCCUGUCUACAGAGAAGGGAUUUUCAUUACUCAUGAGACUCACUCAUUUAUUUAUUGAUACUUACUCAUCAGUUUCCAUGUUGGAGGUUAAGGUAGUGCCUAUCACCUGGCUGUGGAAAUGUUAACACUUUUUGUAAAAUGAGAAGAAAUAUGUUGGGUACUGGUAUUGUUAAUAUAGAUUUUCAAAUUAGGCUUUUGGUGGUGUCUUUUCAUAUGAUCCAGGUCAAUAUGGCCGAGAUCUUCUCAGUAGUCUUAGAUUCCAACCGAAAGAGUUAGAGGUAUGCUUCAGGUUUGGUGUGUGUUACGGACUAAAUUGUGCUCCCCAAUCCUAACCCCCAAAAGUACCUCAGAAGGGAACAUUAUUUGGCUAUAGAGUCUUUACGGUUAAAAUGAGAGCAUUAGGAUGAGCCCUAAUCCAAUAUGACUGGUGUCAUUAUUACAAAGGGAAAUUUGGACACUCUUCAGUUUGCUUGGGCUACCAUAAUAAAAUAUCAGAAACUGAGUAAACAACUGAAAUUUAUCUUCUUACAAUUCUGUAGUCUAAAAAUUGAAGACCUAGGUGCUAUAUCAAGCUUGUUGUCUGAUGAUACUUCUACUAGCUUGUAGAUGGCCAUCUUCUCAUUGCCCUCACACAGCUUUUCUUCUUUAUACAUGCAGAGAAAGAGAUCUUUUCUUGUAAGGACACCAUCCUAUCAGAUUAAGGCUCUAUCCUUAUGACCUCAUUUAACCUUAAUUACCUCCUUAUAGGGCCUAUCUCCAAAUAAAAUUACCCUGUGGGUUAGAGUUUAAACAUAAGAAUUGGUAGGGAGCAAAAUUCAGUCCAUUAGAGACACACAUAAAAGAAGAUGAUAUAAAGAGACAGAGAAGGAACACUGGAAGGAACCUACCCUCUUGACACCUCAAUUUCAGAUUUCUAGCCUCCAGGACUCUGAGGCAAUAAAUUUCUGUUGUUUAAGGCAGACCUAACAGACUAAUCCUGCAUGCCCUUCAUGAUCUCAUAAAAUAGAAGUGAUCUAUGUUAGCCUCAUGGUCAUUACACUGAGACACUUAAGGCCUGCCCACUUAAAGGAGCAAACGAAAAAUAAAUUAAGCAUAAGUCUUCCAAAACAAAUUUUGGAAUCUUUUAGCAGAAUGGUAUCUGGUACAUCAUUCUCCUUUAGGCAAACAUAUUCAGGUUUUGCUGUUACCGUGAAUA